GCCUUAAAAGCUAAUAGCUCAGCGCCUGGUCUUGUAAACCAGUGAAGAAGGUUAAAAUCCCUCUUAAGGCU
This 71-nucleotide transfer RNA is filed under the name Eucidaris metularia. RNAcentral's name for it is "tRNA-Thr". It matches the Rfam family "tRNA". From Rfam's summary of the family: Transfer RNA (tRNA) molecules are approximately 80 nucleotides in length. Their secondary structure includes four short double-helical elements and three loops (D, anti-codon, and T loops). Lineage: Eukaryota; Metazoa; Echinodermata; Echinoidea; Cidaroida; Cidaridae. The record is from RNAcentral.